Papaver somniferum (opium poppy) is the source of this 3621-nucleotide long non-coding RNA. RefSeq lists it as uncharacterized. The record is from RefSeq and is a predicted model, not a curated record. Lineage: Eukaryota; Viridiplantae; Streptophyta; Magnoliopsida; Ranunculales; Papaveraceae. The transcript has 3 exons.
CAUUUUCUCGUUUUUCUCCUCCCCUCUAUGAGGAAACUGUGUGUCUGAAAAAAUACAAGAUUUGUUCUUCUGUGAUAGAUAUGGUUUUGUUAUUAAACCGUGGAGACGAAGAAUAAAAAGGUGAAGUAUAAACAGAAGUCAGAGAAUCGGUAAGAUUCGACAAACCCUAACCUUUUUUUUUCGUUGUUUAGAGCUGUUUUUUUUAUAUGUUUGAAUAGAUAAUCCAAUAUAUGAUGGAUACUGUGAAAAUAGUUUUUAUUUAUUUAGUUUUGUUUUUCUGUUUAAAAACAAAUAUUAUCUCAUUUUCUUCUUUACAUAUUUAGUCCAUUUUAUAAGUGAUUAAGGUUUUAAUUCGAAGAUUUUAUGUAAUUAGGGCUUUGUUUUGGGGAUUUUUAUUAUCUAGUAGGAUUUCAAUUUGGAGAGUUCUGUCGAUUUUCUGUAAUUAGUGUUUCAGUUGGGGAUUUUCUGAAUAUGAAUGGUUGAUUUUCUGUAGUUAGGGUUUAAAUUGAGAUUUUCUGUAUAUGAACGGUUGAUUUUAUGUAAUUAGGGUUUAAAUUGGUAUAUGAAUGGUUGAUUUUAUGUAUAUGAAAUUUCAAGUAGACUAGUUUUUGUUACUAAAGUUUGCGCGUGUAGAGAACAUGUUGUCAGUCAUGAGUCGAGUUCAUACUGACUCACUGUUCCAACUCGGAAAGAUCCAACUGAUUCAGGGGCUAAAAUAUCUUUUUUGACAUACUCGAUUUAGUGCCACAUGUUAUGUAACGGCCGUUAGCCAAUUUUUUUCUCGAAAAAAUGGGACGAAAAAGGUCAAUAGAUGGGAUCAAAAAAAUUAUGAAAAAAAUGUGCGCAUUUUAUUAACACGGGCAUUUUUUUAAUUUCCCCAUGUUUUAUUAAAAGAUAAGAUUUCUGCAAACUUAGGGAUAUAUUUUAAGUUUGAAAGGGUAUUUUUAAUGGCCUCAUAUUAGGGAUGUAUAGACAAUGUUACCUUUUGUGUUUAAGUCACGGGCCUUAAAUAAAACCUUCUGGUCUCAAACUAGUAGGAGUGGUCAAAAACACCCACAUCCACAGAUUUUAUCCAAACCAAUCCGCAUUAUAGCUGGUGGACACCAAUUUGUUUCUCGGCGGAUUGGGUGCAGUUGAAUUUUUAAAACCGAUCGUUUUCACGGUUGGAUGUGGGUGGUAUAUCACCAAUCCGUUGGACACCCAAUCCAAAGGAGAGUUUUGGUGUUACAUCAAAAUAUGAAGGAUAAGCUAGAACGUGAACAAGGUACUUACAUUUAGAAGCCAUAGAAAUAAAUAUGAUCAGAAUGAGAGAGAGGGACAACAUUCAGGAUACUAUGGACUCAGUAUGCAUGAUCAUUAUUCAUUCUUUGUCGGUGUUUACUAUACAAAGUAUUAAUAUUAGUCUUUUGUAAUAUAUUUUGAAAUCCUCCAAUCCACCCUCAUCCACCUUGUUCAUCCAUUCACCCAUUAGGUAAUGGGAUGGGUGUGGAUGCAUUUCUAAUAUCCGUCAUUUUCAUGGAUUAGACACGGGUGGUAUCUGUAGUUGUAAGAAGUAAUACAUUCAACAUCUAACAUUCAAGAUGAAGAGAUUGCAAGAUAAGCAAGUAAAGAGACACAUAAGAACACAAGACAUACGUGGUUCGGCAUGAUUACCUACAUCCGCGGGUUAAAAGGAUGAUCUUAUUAUUUCUUUCAAGUUACAAAGAUAAAAGCUCUCUACACUAUUUAGUCUCUCUCCUUACUCACUCACAAAUCACUUUCCUUUCUCUCAAUGCAACGGUGUAUAUUUAUAGGCUAAGAUGCAUAUACAUAAAAAUUACAGUGUUGGUUUUAUUCUAUCAAUUCUGAUUGUCCUAUCGGAGGGUUGCCAGUGUCUGCUCCAGAUACUUAACACUCGGUUCUAUACUCUCCCGAAGAAUAGAUCUCCCGAUAUGUCUUCGCUUGGCACAAAAUCCCUUCCGAAGUAGAUUCACUACCCGACCCGAUAGUGUUAUCUUUUUGUCUUCGGGCCUACCAUGAUUCGACCCUUCUGCUUCUCGCGCGUGCUCUGUCAGCUGUAUUCAAUGCCUUGUCCCCUGAUUCAAAUUUCACCGUUGGAUAUAGCCUCAGCUUUACACGUGUCUUCUUCUUAAUUGAGUGUGUUAUAUAUCUCUUUUACCGUUUCAAGACUCGGAAUGAUUCCGUUCUUCAUCCUAAUCAUUCUUUUAGUGUGUCAUAUAUUACGAUGGUGCCACCUACAUCUGUCAAUUAAAUUUUAUUACAGUAUCAAAUCCGCACCCACCCACCUAUUGCUCACUUCAUCAACUAGUUGAAGUACCAGUAGGAUCUCCAUGACUAUGAUAUUCGACUGCCAUCGGGAUAGAAGGGUCUCUUGAAAAAUGAAAAGUUUGAUGAGUUCGACCAUUCUCCCGUAGCGACAAUCAUCACCAAAGGUCGGCUCGAACUCGGUCUUUUUCUUCCUCUAUGAUCCGAGCCAACCAUUUCCUUGUGAAGUUCUAUCUCAGCUUCAUCCUCCUCGGGCUCUAGGUCAGUGGCAUGGCAACAAUUUUCGCCUCAUGGCUGAUUGGGACAGGAGAAGAAGGGGUGAGUGCUCCAAUACCGAGUGGUCUACAUAUGAUCCUUCCCACGUGAGCAAGUAUACUUGCGCCAUUUUCUUGGGUAACUACCGAAGUGGCACUUCUUCUCUUGGUGAUCUGGCCAAUUUUUCGGCAUAACCUCAUCGCCUUAGGGUUUCAUCUGUCGGGUUUGAUAAAUUGAUGUUGGAAGAGGAUCCUGAAGGAGGUACCAACACUAACGAUCAUGCUCGCUACACCAACGAUUCUUCUUGGCACCGGGUACCUUUAGCUGUCAGAGAUUCGAUUCUAAGUGGAAAGUUCCCUCCUACCUCUUUUCCUGCUGAUCCCUACCUUUUCUAGAUAGCUAAUACUGAUCAAACUCAAAGUACUCGAAAGAGGGGCCCUGAUAAUAAGGCUGAGGAAGAGCCAGUGAAGAUCGAAGACUGGAGAAAAAGGCGUAUAAAACUCUCCCGGAAAAGGUGGUUAGGAUUCUGAUGAUCGGCUUCCAUUAUCUCGGUUCAUACCAAAAAAGUUGGUAAAGAAGAAGAAUUUUGACGUCCCGUAUACCAUUGUAGGUGAUAAAACUAAGAAAGGAGGUAAAGGAUCUAAGGGUGGUAAGGGUGCCCCUGCUGGAAGUUCUGGGAAGAACGUGCCCCAUCUCCAAUCGUCCGGAACGAAGUCGUCGGGUCAGCCACCCACCGCCUCUAAGUCAAAGCUUAUUGUGGUGCUUUCUGAUGAUGAUAGAGAGAACGAUGAACUCAUCGGAUCGGAUACUGAGGUAGAUGGAUCAGGCGAAGGAGAGGAAGAAAAACAGAAACAAGCCGAAAUUUCCUCAGGAGAUGUGAACGGUCAAGCCUCUCGGAAGACCGAACAUGUUGAAAGUAUCGAAAGGGAUCCUCCUUCUCCUGGGAACAAAGGCUUGGUUGGUGGUUCAGUCUUCUCCUUAUCUGGUGCUGCUUGUGAUUCGUUUGGUGCUCUUGCCUCUUCUAGUUUCACCUCACUCACUGUUAUCGAGAUGUUACAGGUUUUGCCUCUAUAUGGUCCUUCCAUGAAGGAAUCCCUGAAU